Synechococcus sp. GFB01 is the source of this 220-nucleotide regulatory RNA element. It matches the Rfam family "psaA RNA". The record is from Rfam. NCBI's taxonomy places the organism in Bacteria, Bacillati, Cyanobacteriota, Cyanophyceae, Synechococcales, Synechococcaceae.
CCUAUAGUGCCGCCAGCGGUCCCCUAUCUGGGGCCCCAAGCUCCAGCUGCGGCAAUGGGUUUCGCGAUUCCGUGAUGCCUGCUUCAGCUGGUGCCCAUGGCGGCGAAAGCCGGCAUGGGGCCCACCGGUGGAGGCGAUGCGGCUGCUCAGCGGCCCCAGCGACCCGCCGACAGGGGUGGACCUCCACCUCGAUCCCGUCCCUCGAGGAACGUCUCGAUGA